Molecule: ribosomal RNA, 461 nt
Filed under: uncultured bacterium
Lineage: Bacteria
Description: bacterial SSU rRNA
Rfam family: Bacterial small subunit ribosomal RNA
Source: RNAcentral
CGCUGGCGGCGUGCUUAACACAUGCAAGUCGAACGAUGAAGCCGGAGCUUGCUCUGGUGGAUUAGUGGCGAACGGGUGAGUAACACGUGAGUAACCUGCCCUUGACUCUGGGAUAAGCGUUGGAAACGACGUCUAAUACCGGAUACGAGCUAGGACCGCAUGGUCACUAGCUGGAAAGAAUUUCGGUUGAAGAUGAUCUCGCGGCCUAUCAGCUUGUUGGUGAGGUAAUGGCUCACCAAGGCGACGACGGGUAGCCGGCCUGAGAGGGCGACCGGCCACACUGGGACUGAGACACGGUCCAGACUCCUACGGGAGGCAGCAGUGGGGAAUUUUCCGCAAUGGGCGAAAGCCUGACGGAGCAAUACCGCGUGAGGGAAGAAUGCCUAUGGGUUGUAAACCUCUUUUUUCAGGGAGGAAUAAAAUGACGUGUACCUGAAGAAUAAGCAUCGGCUAACUCCGUG